RNAcentral lists this ribosomal RNA (547 nucleotides) under Rhombinella laevigata. RNAcentral's name for it is "partial small subunit ribosomal RNA". Lineage: Eukaryota; Metazoa; Mollusca; Gastropoda; Neogastropoda; Columbellidae. The record is from RNAcentral.
GACCAAAAGAUUAAGUUAUAUAAAUAGGUGAAAAGAUAGUUAGACAAUAUAAGGAAGUUUAAUGAUUUUUUAUAGAAGGGUAAAAUUUGGAUAUAAAAAACUAAUUUUUUUUUAACUACUAGGUUGAAGCUAUGAUAAUUUUGAGGGAAACUGGGAUUAGAUACCCCAUUAUUCAUAAAUUGUAAAUUAAUUAAAAUGAGUUUACCAGAGUACUAUGAAUAAAAAAAUUUAAAACUCAAAGGGCUUGGCGGUGUUUUAGACCAAUUAGGGGAACCUGUCUCAUAAUCGACAAUCCGCGUUAUACCUGACCUUUUUUAGUAGACAGUUUGUAUACCGUCGUCGUCAGGUAACUUUUAAAAAUAAAGAAGUUGGCAGUAAUAAUUAUUGUUUAUUAAGACGUCAGAUCAAGGUGCAGCUUAUAAAAGGGGGAGGAUGGGUUACAAUUAUAGAUUAAUAAUUACGGAUAGUGAAGUGUAAAAAACUUAAAGGAGGACUUAAAAGUAAUGUUGUUUUAUACAAAUAAUUUGAAUUAGGCUCUGAAACGUGC